Molecule: ribosomal RNA, 69 nt
Filed under: Trichophyton tonsurans
Lineage: Eukaryota; Fungi; Ascomycota; Eurotiomycetes; Onygenales; Arthrodermataceae
Description: partial 28S ribosomal RNA
Source: RNAcentral
AAUGGGCAACAAACCAGCGCCUCCAGGACCGGCCGCCCUGGCCUCAAAAUCUGUUUUAUACUUAUCAGG